Molecule: ribosomal RNA, 2419 nt
Filed under: Shigella sonnei
Lineage: Bacteria; Pseudomonadati; Pseudomonadota; Gammaproteobacteria; Enterobacterales; Enterobacteriaceae
Description: partial 23S ribosomal RNA
Rfam family: Bacterial large subunit ribosomal RNA
Source: RNAcentral
GUGAAAAAGAACCUGAAACCGUGUACGUACAAGCAGUGGGAGCACGCUUAGGCGUGUGACUGCGUACCUUUUGUAUAAUGGGUCAGCGACUUAUAUUCUGUAGCAAGGUUAACCGAAUAGGGGAGCCGAAGGGAAACCGAGUCUUAACUGGGCGUUAAGUUGCAGGGUAUAGACCCGAAACCCGGUGAUCUAGCCAUGGGCAGGUUGAAGGUUGGGUAACACUAACUGGAGGACCGAACCGACUAAUGUUGAAAAAUUAGCGGAUGACUUGUGGCUGGGGGUGAAAGGCCAAUCAAACCGGGAGAUAGCUGGUUCUCCCCGAAAGCUAUUUAGGUAGCGCCUCGUGAAUUCAUCUCCGGGGGUAGAGCACUGUUUCGGCAAGGGGGUCAUCCCGACUUACCAACCCGAUGCAAACUGCGAAUACCGGAGAAUGUUAUCACGGGAGACACACGGCGGGUGCUAACGUCCGUCGUGAAGAGGGAAACAACCCAGACCGCCAGCUAAGGUCCCAAAGUCAUGGUUAAGUGGGAAACGAUGUGGGAAGGCCCAGACAGCCAGGAUGUUGGCUUAGAAGCAGCCAUCAUUUAAAGAAAGCGUAAUAGCUCACUGGUCGAGUCGGCCUGCGCGGAAGAUGUAACGGGGCUAAACCAUGCACCGAAGCUGCGGCAGCGACGCUUAUGCGUUGUUGGGUAGGGGAGCGUUCUGUAAGCCUGCGAAGGUGUGCUGUGAGGCAUGCUGGAGGUAUCAGAAGUGCGAAUGCUGACAUAAGUAACGAUAAAGCGGGUGAAAAGCCCGCUCGCCGGAAGACCAAGGGUUCCUGUCCAACGUUAAUCGGGGCAGGGUGAGUCGACCCCUAAGGCGAGGCCGAAAGGCGUAGUCGAUGGGAAACAGGUUAAUAUUCCUGUACUUGGUGUUACUGCGAAGGGGGGACGGAGAAGGCUAUGUUGGCCGGGCGACGGUUGUCCCGGUUUAAGCGUGUAGGCUGGUUUUCCAGGCAAAUCCGGAAAAUCAAGGCUGAGGCGUGAUGACGAGGCACUACGGUGCUGAAGCAACAAAUGCCCUGCUUCCAGGAAAAGCCUCUAAGCAUCAGGUAACAUCAAAUCGUACCCCAAACCGACACAGGUGGUCAGGUAGAGAAUACCAAGGCGCUUGAGAGAACUCGGGUGAAGGAACUAGGCAAAAUGGUGCCGUAACUUCGGGAGAAGGCACGCUGAUAUGUAGGUGAAGUCCCUUGCGGAUGGAGCUGAAAUCAGUCGAAGAUACCAGCUGGCUGCAACUGUUUAUUAAAAACACAGCACUGUGCAAACACGAAAGUGGACGUAUACGGUGUGACGCCUGCCCGGUGCCGGAAGGUUAAUUGAUGGGGUCAGCGCAAGCGAAGCUCUUGAUCGAAGCCCCGGUAAACGGCGGCCGUAACUAUAACGGUCCUAAGGUAGCGAAAUUCCUUGUCGGGUAAGUUCCGACCUGCACGAAUGGCGUAAUGAUGGCCAGGCUGUCUCCACCCGAGACUCAGUGAAAUUGAACUCGCUGUGAAGAUGCAGUGUACCCGCGGCAAGACGGAAAGACCCCGUGAACCUUUACUAUAGCUUGACACUGAACAUUGAGCCUUGAUGUGUAGGAUAGGUGGGAGGCUUUGAAGUGUGGACGCCAGUCUGCAUGGAGCCGGCCUUGAAAUACCACCCUUUAAUGUUUGAUGUUCUAACGUGGACCCGUGAUCCGGGUUGCGGACAGUGUCUGGUGGGUAGUUUGACUGGGGCGGUCUCCUCCUAAAGAGUAACGGAGGAGCACGAAGGUUGGCUAAUCCUGGUCGGACAUCAGGAGGUUAGUGCAAUGGCAUAAGCCAGCUUGACUGCGAGCGUGACGGCGCGAGCAGGUGCGAAAGCAGGUCAUAGUGAUCCGGUGGUUCUGAAUGGAAGGGCCAUCGCUCAACGGAUAAAAGGUACUCCGGGGAUAACAGGCUGAUACCGCCCAAGAGUUCAUAUCGACGGCGGUGUUUGGCACCUCGAUGUCGGCUCAUCACAUCCUGGGGCUGAAGUAGGUCCCAAGGGUAUGGCUGUUCGCCAUUUAAAGUGGUACGCGAGCUGGGUUUAGAACGUCGUGAGACAGUUCGGUCCCUAUCUGCCGUGGGCGCUGGAGAACUGAGGGGGGCUGCUCCUAGUACGAGAGGACCGGAGUGGACGCAUCACUGGUGUUCGGGUUGUCAUGCCAAUGGCACUGCCCGGUAGCUAAAUGCGGAAGAGAUAAGUGCUGAAAGCAUCUAAGCACGAAACUUGCCCCGAGAUGAGUUCUCCCUGACCCUUUAAGGGUCCUGAAGGAACGUUGAAGACGACGACGUUGAUAGGCCGGGUGUGUAAGCGCAGCGAUGCGUUGAGCUAACCGGUACUAAUGAACCGUGAGGCUUAACCUUACAACGCCGAAG